AAGAACACUUGGGGAUGUUGCUGGCCUGGAACACGGGCAUGUGCACUCCCUGAAACAUUCUGACGCUUUCUCACACACCUGUGCAUCCUUUGUAGGCGCGCCGGGGAGAUUGUUCAUCUCUUUCUCUCGCCUAUGUAUUUUUUUAUUUUAUACAAACACCAUCGAAUGUUUUGACCCAAAAAAAGUUAUUUGUUAAUAAUUAACA
This 205-nucleotide unclassified non-coding RNA is filed under the name uncultured Agaricomycetes. RNAcentral's name for it is "sequence contains ITS1". Lineage: Eukaryota; Fungi; Basidiomycota; Agaricomycetes. The record is from RNAcentral.